UUCCUCCUUCCCUCUAUUUUGAAUGGUGGUUAGUUCUUCUUCUUCAUGCUUAGAUAAUUAAGUAGCUUUGGGAGUGAUUACUUGGUUCACAACUGAAGUUAUACAUAAAGGAGUUCCUUUGUUUUUCUUCUCGUGCUAUGUCUUUUAGGCCAGUAUUAUUGAGGCAAAUGGCAAGGGUGUUAAAAAAACUAGUGCAGCAACCAACAGCCAUGAUCACAACUUUGCUGUACUACAGUGAUUUACUGCCACAAAACGCUGCGUUGGAGAGGAUGGUACAGCAUGAGAUGCUACUUCAUCAAGAGAAUUACUUUUUCAUGAUCAUCACCAACUUCUUGAAAUGCUUCUUGUAGAUAAGUUUAAAUUAAUGGGAAAUUUCCAUAUUUUGAUGAUGAGGGAAUUUUUUUUGUCUCCUUAUUAAAAUUUCAUCAUUGUAUUUUGAUUUUGAUGGAAUGAGGAAAUAUGGUCUUUCAUGUUUUUUA
Beta vulgaris subsp. vulgaris (sugar beet) is the source of this 479-nucleotide long non-coding RNA. RefSeq lists it as uncharacterized. The record is from RefSeq and is a predicted model, not a curated record. Lineage: Eukaryota; Viridiplantae; Streptophyta; Magnoliopsida; Caryophyllales; Amaranthaceae. The transcript is spliced from 2 exons.